GCACCUCUAGCUCAGUUGGUAGAGCAACUGACUCUUAAUCAGUGGGUCCAGGGUUCGAGUCCCUGGAGGUGCACCA
This 76-nucleotide transfer RNA is filed under the name [Clostridium] cellulosi. RNAcentral's name for it is "tRNA-Lys (CTT) (tRNA-Lys-CTT-1-1, tRNA-Lys-CTT-1-2)". It matches the Rfam family "tRNA". From Rfam's summary of the family: Transfer RNA (tRNA) molecules are approximately 80 nucleotides in length. Their secondary structure includes four short double-helical elements and three loops (D, anti-codon, and T loops). Further hydrogen bonds mediate the characteristic L-shaped molecular structure. tRNAs have two regions of fundamental functional importance: the anti-codon, which is responsible for specific mRNA codon recognition, and the 3' end, to which the tRNAs corresponding amino acid is attached (by aminoacyl-tRNA synthetases). tRNAs cope with the degeneracy of the genetic code in two manners: having more than one tRNA (with a specific anti-codon) for a particular amino acid; and 'wobble' base-pairing, i.e. permitting non-standard base-pairing at the 3rd anti-codon position. RNAcentral also lists the same sequence under 6 other names. Lineage: Bacteria; Bacillati; Bacillota; Clostridia; Eubacteriales; Oscillospiraceae. The record is from RNAcentral.